UUGCUUUGGCAGCAAACAUACUAAAAUUGGAACAAUUCAGAGAAGAUUAGCAUGACCCUGUAUAAGGAUGACAUGCAAAUUUGUGAAGCAGUCCAUACUUUG
Molecule: small nuclear RNA, 102 nt
Filed under: Dasypus novemcinctus (nine-banded armadillo)
Lineage: Eukaryota; Metazoa; Chordata; Mammalia; Cingulata; Dasypodidae
Source: RNAcentral